RNAcentral lists this ribosomal RNA (497 nucleotides) under uncultured bacterium. RNAcentral describes it as "partial 16S ribosomal RNA". It matches the Rfam family "Bacterial small subunit ribosomal RNA", at positions 28 to 507 of the family's 1533-position model. The record is from RNAcentral.
GAUGAACGCUGGCGGCGUGCCUAAUACAUGCAAGUCGAGCGAACGGACGAGAAGCUUGCUGCUCUGAUGUUUGCGGCGGACGGGUGAGUAACACGUGGAUAACCUACCUAUAAGACUGGGAUAACCUCGGAAAACCGGAGCUAAUACGGGAUAAGAUUUUGAACCGCAGGGGUCAAAAGUGAAAGACGGUCUUGCGGGCUGGUCUAGAGGCAUACGCGCUGCAUGAGCUAGUUGGUGAGGUAACGGCUUAUCAAGGGUACGAUGCAUAGCCGACGUGAGAGGGUGAUCGGCCGCACUGGAACUGAGCCAGGCACCAGGCGACUAAGAUAGGCAGCAGUAGCGAAUGUGCCGCAAUAGGCGAGAACCUGACGGAGCAACCCGGAGUGAGUGAUGAAAGUCCUCGGAGCGUAAAACCCUGCUAUUAGGGAAGAACCUAUGUGGAAGGAACUGUGGCCAGCUUGACGGUACCUAAUCAGAAAGCCACGGCUAACUACGUG